Non-coding RNA from Odocoileus virginianus texanus, 1969 nucleotides. The record is from RefSeq and is a predicted model, not a curated record. Lineage: Eukaryota; Metazoa; Chordata; Mammalia; Artiodactyla; Cervidae.
CCUAACUGCCUAUGUGAUGAUGACUGGGAAGCCAGCUUUGUGAGCUGGGCUGGUGCAGACAAAACUGAGGCAAAAGUUGACCUUCCUCCAGUUUCUGCCCCCAUUCCACCCACCCCUUCACAUCCUGCUGCCACACAACAGCGCUGGCCUCUCCACCCUUCCGAGAGAAAUGUGUGGACAAAGAUGUCCAUCAUACGAUUAUUUAUAAAAAUGAACAUUAAUCUUUAACUAUGGGGGGACAACUUAACCAUGCCUCAAAAAUGUGAUAGAAGACUCUACAGAUGUUAGAAUGGAUCAGCAUGAAGAUGAGAGUAUGGAAAGAUGUCUGUAGGCUACUUCUAAGCAAAAUAAGCAGAACACAAAAUUGUAAACUCUGUGAUUAGAACUAAGUAAAAAAACAAACUGUGUAUUUCUCUGGCUGAAGGUUAAAAAGAUCCAUAGACGAACUGUGUAAGAGUAGGUAGGAUUGUGCCUUGGACUGUUGUCUCUUUAAAUUCUUUCAAUGUUACUGUAAUGUUGUGUUAAUAAUAAAAAUGUUGUAUAAAGUUAAAGUGCCAGUCCACUGUCCCAUUCCAAGUAAGUUUAUGACAAGCUGAUCAUGGCCCAUGUCUACCUUCCCCUCGUUACGAAUUUGGAUCAGAAAGAAGCCUCUUAGGAAGGAGAGGAGCCUUCUGAAUUGAAGACGAGACACUGGCAAGUGAGGUCUUGGAUGGGACAGAGUGCAGCAAGGUCUCUGCUGCCCUCACACGGGGUAUGUCUCCUCACAGGGCUGGAGAAUUCCGGGGCUCUGCCACCCAUAGAGACCGCUGCUCUUUUCUGGGCUCCUCCCAUGGGCGGGGUACCCUGGGGUCAAGAGGAAUAUGAGAGAUGGCACCAUGGAGGCUACAGACAGACCAGGCUCAAUCCAGGCUGUGAUAAGGGCUACAAAGGCAGGCAGAGAGUCCCUGCGUCCCAGAAGCUGAGGAGGAUUUUGACAGAUGAAGAAGAGCUCAGAUUUGGCCAAACUGAAAUAGGUGAGGCCCGCGCUGGGAGGCAGGUGCUCCAGGAGAGAAAGCACGGACUCUGCAGACUGAGUUUAAAUCCUAGCGCCAUCACUACCCAGCUGGAGGGAAAACCAGGGCAGGCUGUCUCCAAAUCCAUGAUGCUCCCACAGAACCACUUGAUGGGAAGGACAGAAAGAGUCUGUGAAUCAGGGCAAAAGGCAUAGAAAUGCCAGGCGGUUUCCAGGAGAGUGCAAGCAUGAUGCUGUCUUGGUUCACCCACACUCCUGUCCCACCUCCAACAACUCUGCUAUGAGAUGAAGCCAGGCAUUGCAGUUUUCGAAGCUCCCUCAGGUGAUUUGAAUGUGCAGCAAAACACAUCUCACCUGGAGGCCUCUCCACAGGAGGCUGGCAUCACACCGGCUGGUGAUGCUUUUGGGGUUUUGUCAGAUUUUCAUUCCUCCUGAGCCUGUGAGGAAACAGAACCAGGAGUGACCAGCGAGACGCAGCCCAGUGGCAGAGUUGAGAUCUCUGUGACCGGCAGAGGGGCCCUGGCUGAGAGAGGGUACCGGUUGCCUUCUGCCUGCCUGCCCCAGGCAAGGAUGAGCUCUCCCCUGAGGGGGAUCCACAGCCUGUGCUAGCAGUGGGCACCAGCAGACCCCCCAGCACUCCGAAUCCUGGGACCCCCACGCACUGUUGGCCAUUGGGAGCACUCACAACAGGAAGCCAAACCACUUACAGCAUCCUGAGAUAUUAACCAGACAUGGAGUCAUCCAAGUGACCUAUCACCCAGCUCGGCAGUUUAGCAAGCUGUCUGUCUCUCCCUGUUUCUGAGCACACAUUCCUGCCUGCUCCACACCCAGAGGCUGAAGAGAUACAAGGAGAUGAUGACUGCAGGUAUUCCCACUGCCAGUUGGUACCCUUUGACCGUGGUCUUCAGGGGCUGGGGGUCACCCAGUGUGAGCUCCAGAAUAUUGGCUAAUAAAAGU